RNAcentral lists this ribosomal RNA (1053 nucleotides) under uncultured bacterium. Its description in RNAcentral is "bacterial SSU rRNA". It matches the Rfam family "Bacterial small subunit ribosomal RNA", at positions 24 to 1072 of the family's 1533-position model. The record is from RNAcentral.
UCGUGCUCGUGCUCGUGCUCAGGCCUAAUACAUGCAAGUCGGACGGGAUCCAUCGGAGAGCUUGCUCGAAGAUGGUGAGAGUGGCGCACGGGUGCGUAACGCGUGAGAACCUACCUCUAUCAGGGGGAUAGCCUCUCGAAAGAGAGAUUAACACCGCAUAACAUCAACAGUUCGCAUGUUCGGUUGAUUAAAUAUUUAUAGGAUAGAGAUGGGCUCGCGUGACAUUAGCUAGUUGGUAGGGUAACGGCUUACCAAGGCGACGAUGUCUAGGGGCUCUGAGAGGAGAAUCCCCCACACUGGUACUGAGACACGGACCAGACUCCUACGGGAGGCAGCAGUAAGGAAUAUUGGUCAAUGGGCGGGAGCUGAACCAGCCAUGCCGCGUGCAGGAUGACUGCCCUAUGGGUUGUAAACUGCUUUUGUCCAGGAAUAAACCUAAAUACGUGUAUUUAGCUGAAUGUACUGGAAGAAUAAGGAUCGGCUAACUCCGUGCCAGCAGCCGCGGUAAUACGGAGGAUCCGAGCGUUAUCCGGAUUUAUUGGGUUUAAAGGGUGCGUAGGCGGCCUAUUAAGUCAGGGGUGAAAUACGGUGGCUCAACCAUCGCAGUGCCUUUGAUACUGAUGGGCUUGAAUCCAUUUGAAGUGGGCGGAAUAAGACAAGUAGCGGUGAAAUGCAUAGAUAUGUCUUAGAACUCCGAUUGCGAAGGCAGCUCACUAAGCUGGUAUUGACGCUGAUGCACGAAAGCGUGGGGAUCGAACAGGAUUAGAUACCCUGGUAGUCCACGCCCUAAACGAUGAUAACUCGAUGUUUGGCGAUAGACAGCCAGCGUCCCAGCGAAAGCGUUAAGUUAUCCACCUGGGGAGUACGCCCGCAAGGUGAAAACUCAAAGGAAUUGACGGGGGCCCGCACAAGCGGAGGAGCAUGUGGUUUAAUUCGAUGAUACGCGAGGAACCUUACCCGGGCUUGAAAGUUAGUGAAGAGUGCAGAGACGCACUCGUCCUUCGGGACACGAAACUAGGUGCUGCAUGGCUGUCGUCAGCUCGUGCCGUGAGG